AAUUUGCCAAGGAAUUUGCCAAUGCAGAGCCCCAGCAUCACCAUGUAGAAUAGAUGCAAAAUUAAGUUGCACACCAUGACAACUUUCUGUGAUGAGUAGUAGACCGUAAAUUAAGCGUUGAUAUUUGAAGCAGAUGGACGAUUUUUGGAUAAUUAACGAUAAGUGUGUAGCCAGGAAACGUUUGUUCUAGAGUAUACCGUGUAGUCACGUGGCUUUAUUUCUAUUAUAGAUACCCCAAAAGUGUCUUUUGAACUAUUAAUAUCGAGUGAUAAUGAACGGUAUUCAGUGUCACUGCCCAGGGCUGGAGUCGGCCUGCGAUGGAGACAAUUCGCCAUACAAUUCUCAGCCAAUGGCCAGCCAGUUUCCCUGUGCCACUGUUCACGACGACCGUGACAAGAAGAAAAAGUCUGGCAGCAGCAAAUCAUUUCUGCCCUCGUACAUUCACGAUAAGGAGAUAAUGGCCAGAAUGGUGUCCCACGACUACGGCCGCCAAUGGCUGGCAGAGCGGGACGCCUGGUUCGAACAGCACGCCACAUCCGACGACAGCCUCCGCACGCGCAUGCUGGACAGGUGCCAGAAAACCGAGAUCGAAUAUGUGAAUGCCCAGAAAUGUUACCGUGACCUAAAAGAACAAAUUGCAAGAGGACGACUAGCAGGAUCAAAAAAGAAGUAAGACCCAUUGAACCAUGAAGUAUAUAUACAUUCGGUCCCCGAAUGUACAAGCAUGUCCAAGGGGCUCUCGACACGCAUUGGGAGCCGUAUCCACCAAUCAAGGGAUGGAGAUGCUGAAGCCUCCGUUCUUACCAGCGCUGGAUUAGAAUACCUUGAUAGGAGAAAAAAUGGAACAAAAAGGAGCUUUUCAGUAUACUUUACCAGGGUCUCAGAAACUGAAAACCAUAGAAGACCGCUACAUCUUCAGAAUCUGUGUCUCUAAACACAUAUUGUUAGAAAUGAAUUCAAAAUCAAAUGAAAUAAAAAAAUACAUUUAUCAAAAUUCAA
This 999-nucleotide unclassified non-coding RNA is filed under the name Amphibalanus amphitrite. RNAcentral's name for it is "uncharacterized LOC122389968, transcript variant X3". The record is from RNAcentral. Lineage: Eukaryota; Metazoa; Arthropoda; Thecostraca; Balanomorpha; Balanidae.